GCCCCACUAGCCCAAUGGCUAGGGCGUCAGACUUCUAUUAACGAAAUCUGGAGGUUGCGGGUUCGAGUCCCGCGUGGGGUU
Molecule: non-coding RNA, 81 nt
Organism: Tulasnella sp. 427
Lineage: Eukaryota; Fungi; Basidiomycota; Agaricomycetes; Cantharellales; Tulasnellaceae
Source: the annotation of a GenBank genome assembly